UGGCAGUCCUUUGUUUCACACAGAAUACUUGUGCGACCUUCAGAUGAUAGUGAAUAUCCAAAGCAGCACAUCUAUUUAUCAGAAUGGCUGUUGCCGUCCUUGAAGUUACCAGACAAAUUUACAAUCAAUGAUGAUGGCACAUACAUUGUAUUAUGAAAUUCACAUGAUUUCAGACCGGCCUUUUGACACACUGAUUCAUGAUUGCUCCCUCAACCGAGGUCAAGCAUUUAAA
This 232-nucleotide unclassified non-coding RNA is filed under the name Hevea brasiliensis (rubber tree). The record is from RNAcentral. Lineage: Eukaryota; Viridiplantae; Streptophyta; Magnoliopsida; Malpighiales; Euphorbiaceae.